This 1500-nucleotide ribosomal RNA is filed under the name metagenome. RNAcentral's name for it is "bacterial LSU rRNA". It matches the Rfam family "Bacterial large subunit ribosomal RNA", at positions 1433 to 2925 of the family's 2925-position model. The record is from RNAcentral.
AUAUUCCUGUACUUGGUAUAAGUGCGAUGUGGGGACGGAGAAGGUUACCUCAGCCAACGGUUGGAAGUGUUGGUUUAAGCGUGUAGGUGUGUGGCUUAGGCAAAUCCGGGCUGCUUUAACACUGAGGCGUGAUGACGAGUCUACUUGUAGACGAAGUGAGCGAUACCCUGCUUCCAAGAAAAGCCACUAAGCUUCAGCUUAUAUUGAACCGUACCGCAAACCGACACAGGUGGGUAGGAUGAGAAUUCUAAGGUGCUUGAGAGAACUCGGGAGAAGGAACUCGGCAAAUUGACACCGUAACUUCGGGAGAAGGUGUGCCUCUAGUAGGUGAAGGUGUACAACCGGAGCCCAAUGAGGCCGCAGAGAAAUGAGGGCUGCGACUGUUUAUCAAAAACACAGCACUGUGCUAACACGAAAGGGAUGUAUACGGUGUGACGCCUCCCCGGUGCUGGAAGAUUAAAUGAUGGGGUGCGAGCUCUUGAUUGAAGUCCCAGUAAACGGCGGCCGUAACUAUAACGGUCCUAAGGUAGCGAAAUUCCUUGUCGGGUAAGUUCCGACCCGCACGAAUGGCGUAACGAUGGCCCUACUGUCUCCUCCCGAGACUCAGCGAAGUUGAAGUGUUUGUGAAGAUGCAAUCUCCCCGCUGCUAGACGGAAAGACCCCGUGAACCUUUACUGUAGCUUUGCAUUGGACUUUGAAGUGGUUUGUGUAGGAUAGGUGGGAGGCUUUGAAGCGUGGACGCUAGUUCGCGUGGAGCCGUCCUUGAAAUACCACCCUGACCCCUUUGAGGUUCUAACCUUGGUCCGUUAUCCGGAUCGGGGACCGUGCAUGGUAGGCAGUUUGACUGGGGCGGUCUCCUCCCAAAUUGUAACGGAGGAGCUCGAAGGUCGCCUAGGUACGGUCGGACAUCGUACUGAUAGUGUAAUGGCAAAAGGCGGCUUAACUGCGAGACCGACAAGUCGAGCAGGUGCGAAAGCAGGACAUAGUGAUCCGGUGGUUCUGAAUGGAAGGGCCAUCGCUCAACGGAUAAAAGGUACUCCGGGGAUAACAGGCUGAUUCCGCCCAAGAGUUCACAUCGACGGCGGAGUUUGGCACCUCGAUGUCGGCUCAUCACAUCCUGGGGCUGUGGCCGGUCCCAAGGGUAUGGCUGUUCGCCAUUUAAAGUGGUACGUGAGCUGGGUUCAAAACGUCGUGAGACAGUUUGGUCCCUAUCUGCAGUGGGCGUUGGAAGUUUGAGGGGGGCUGCUCCUAGUACGAGAGGACCGGAGUGGACUGACCUCUGGUGUACCGGUUGUCACGCCAGUGGCAUUGCCGGGUAGCUAAGUCGGGAAAAGAUAAGCGCUGAAAGCAUCUAAGCGCGAAACUUGCCUCAAGAUGAGACUUCCCUAGGUCUUUAAGACCUCUAAAGGAUCGUUCGAGACCAGGACGUUGAUAGGUCGGGUGUGGAAGCGCAGUAAUGCGUUAAGCUAACCGAUACUAAUUGCCCGUGAGGCUUGAUCC